Molecule: small RNA, 1091 nt
Filed under: Pan troglodytes (chimpanzee)
Lineage: Eukaryota; Metazoa; Chordata; Mammalia; Primates; Hominidae
Description: processed transcript
Source: RNAcentral
UAAUUAAGGAAGCUGUAAGGUUAGUAGGGCUGGCAGCUUUGGCUCUACCUUACAUCCACCCCUUUUAGAAAAACAAGAAAACAUUUUGUCUGGCACUAGUUUCUGUUGUAUACGUUUUCAUACUGUUUAACAAGACCACAGCAGGUAAGGAUUAAUUUUUGAGUGGCUGCUGGAAUUACUUGAUUUGAAUACUUAGUAUUUUAGUAGUCUCUCACACAUUUGCCAUUAGGUAUGAAUAAAAUAUUCCUACUGUACUCCUAUUCCACUAAGUUACAUUUUGAACUUAGACUCGCCUUAAUUAAACUUAAUUAAUUGGGGAGGGGGAUUCCCCAACAAAAAGAAGUACGGGCUCAGAGUGGAAUUGUAGUGGACAAUAGUUAAAAACAAAGCUGCUCCUUUUGCUUGCUUGAUCAUUGGGAUUUUUUAAAAAAAAAUUUUAAUGCAUGUCUUUUAAAUUAAUUGGGAACUGUUUUUCUAAAAUUAAAAUUUUCUUCUUCCUAUAGCCCUGCCAUAGGACAGGCUGAGGCUGAGUCUCAGUGUUGCCCUGUUCAGUCUGAGGCAAAGAAUUUCAGCAUUUGCUACUUACUGGUAGAGAAGAAAAAUCCCACAGCCCUGCCAGUACAGGUUAGUUUAAUCUGUAAGUACCUGAUGUUCCUAUUUUUUUCAAACAUAUCCAUAUAACUCACACAAGGAAGAAAGCUGUGCGGUUACUUAAAUGUUAGUAUAACUAAUAAUAGAUCCAUUGGACACUUCAAAACACUCAGUACUUGGGCCAAAGUAGAUCUAGGUUUGCUAACCCCAGUUGUAAUAAAGGUGUAAUACUGCUCCUUUGUUAUCUCCUUGUGGUUCAACCUAAGUAGAUACAUUGUACAUAAAAGGAAAAGACAGUUUCAGUUGGCUAUGCCCUUGUUGAUAGAUGAUAUGGAGUCCAGGGCUUUGGGUCCAGGGUCUUUUACUUAAGCUAUUUCAUGGUGGUUCUCUCAUUCACCUUUUAACUUUUUACAGUAUGAAUCAACCUAAGAAAAAAGGCAAGUUUCCUCACAUCUAGAAAUGAUAAAUGGUGUACAGUCAUAAGCUAGAAUAUGUUUUUA